AUACGGAGGGUGCAAGCGUUAAUCGGAAUUACUGGGCGUAAAGCGCUCGUAGGCGGCUUGUUAAGUCGGAUGUGAAAGCCCCGGGCUCAACCUGGGAACUGCAUUCGAUACUGGCAAGCUAGAGUAUAGUAGAGGCAAGUGGAAUUCCGGGUGUAGCGGUGAAAUGCGUAGAUAUCCGGAGGAACAUCAGUGGCGAAGGCGACUUGCUGGGCCAAUACUGACGCUGAGGUGCGAAAGCGUGGGGAGCAAACAGGAUUAGAAACCCCAGUAGUCC
Molecule: ribosomal RNA, 274 nt
Filed under: uncultured bacterium
Lineage: Bacteria
Description: partial 16S ribosomal RNA
Rfam family: Bacterial small subunit ribosomal RNA
Source: RNAcentral